Molecule: small nucleolar RNA, 186 nt
Organism: Carassius auratus (goldfish)
Lineage: Eukaryota; Metazoa; Chordata; Actinopteri; Cypriniformes; Cyprinidae
Product: small nucleolar RNA SNORA81
Source: Ensembl
CCCUUCUUUUAAAAGCGCCAUACUAAAAUCACCAGCUCAAGGCCUUCUGGUCUUGCUCUGGUGUUCAUGCUAGUACUGGUUAAUCUUAAAGAAGGUAGAGCAAAAGCACACGGUUGGAAAUGAGUCUAGGAAGGACCUCUUUCUUAAUGUCCGGUGUCCAAGGUCUCAAGAUUUUGUGCCAUACAU